GACGAACGCUGGCGGCGUGCUUAACACAUGCAAGUCGAACGGUGAACUCCGCUUGCGGGGGGAUCAGUGGCGAACGGGUGAGUAACACGUGGGCAACCUGCCCUCAGCUCUGGGAUAACUCCAAGAAAUUGGGGCUAAUACCGGAUAUGACCGCUGACCGCAUGGUCUGGUGGUGGAAAGAUUUAUCGGCUGGGGAUGGGCCCGCGGCCUAUCAGCUUGUUGGUGGGGUAGUGGCCUACCAAGGCGACGACGGGUAGCCGGCCUGAGAGGGUGACCGGCCACACUGGGACUGAGACACGGCCCAGACUCCUACGGGAGGCAGCAGUGGGGAAUAUUGCGCAAUGGGCGAAAGCCUGACGCAGCGACGCCGCGUGGGGGAUGACGGCCUUCGGGUUGUAAACCUCUUUCAGCAGGGACGAAGCGAAAGUGACGGUACCUGCAGAAGAAGCACCGGCCAACUACGU
RNAcentral lists this ribosomal RNA (464 nucleotides) under uncultured bacterium. Its description in RNAcentral is "partial 16S ribosomal RNA". It matches the Rfam family "Bacterial small subunit ribosomal RNA", at positions 28 to 506 of the family's 1533-position model. The record is from RNAcentral.